UUUCCGUAGGUGAACCUGCGGAAGGAUCAUUAUUGUAUAACCGAGGUGCGAGGGCUGUCGCUGACCCGAAAGGUCGUGCACGCCCGAGUGCCCUCACAGACAUCCAUCUCACCCCUAUGUGCACCACCGCGUGGGUCCCCCUUUGGCUUGUUCGGAGGGGGGCUUACGUUUUCACACAAACUUUGUAUGCAGUGUAGAAUGUAUUUUUUGUUUUUGCGAUCACGCAAUCAAUACAACUUUCAACAACGGAUCUCUUGGCUCUC
RNAcentral lists this unclassified non-coding RNA (263 nucleotides) under plant metagenome. RNAcentral describes it as "partial contains small subunit ribosomal RNA, internal transcribed spacer 1, and 5.8S ribosomal RNA". The record is from RNAcentral.